This 26-nucleotide unclassified non-coding RNA is filed under the name Mus musculus (house mouse). RNAcentral describes it as "oocyte_clustered_small_RNA538". The record is from RNAcentral. Lineage: Eukaryota; Metazoa; Chordata; Mammalia; Rodentia; Muridae.
UAAGCGCGUCUGAGGCAGUAGACAGG